GUUGAGUGUGAUGGCACACAUCUGUAAUCCCAGCUACUUGGGAGGUUGAGGCAGGAAGAUAGCUUGAGACCAGGAGUAAUGGGCUGUAGUACAUUAUGCUAAUUGGGUGUCCACACUAAGUUUGGCAUCAAUACGUUGACCUCCCAGAAGCAGGGAGACCACCAGCUUGCCGAAGAAAGGGUGAACCAGGCCUAGAAGGAAAUGAAGCAGGUAAAAUCUCUUGUGCUGACCAAUAGUGGGAUCAUGCCUUUGAGUAGCCACUGCUACUCCAACCUGAGUGCUAUAGUAAAGCUCCAUUUAU
Molecule: signal recognition particle RNA, 301 nt
Filed under: Cebus imitator (Panamanian white-faced capuchin)
Lineage: Eukaryota; Metazoa; Chordata; Mammalia; Primates; Cebidae
Description: Metazoan signal recognition particle RNA (ENSCCAG00000007557.1)
Rfam family: Metazoan signal recognition particle RNA
About the family: The signal recognition particle (SRP) is a universally conserved ribonucleoprotein. It is involved in the co-translational targeting of proteins to membranes.
Source: RNAcentral